AGACAUUAAGAUGCUUGGGAGAAUUGAACCAAAGUACACACUUUUCCGGGUGCUGAAGAGAGAGCUCCAUCUUGGUAAAUCACUUCCUCCAAGAUUGGAAAGUUUGCAAGAAUGUCGGCCUCUAUUCUCUUCUUCCAUAUUGGUAACUUAGCCAAGAAAAAAUAUAAUAUUUCAUUUGCAUCCAUAAUGGUGACUUCACGGAAUGGAAGCAUUUAUCUCAUUCGUAUGGUGAAAAAUAUCUGCCAGGUACAUGCAGCCAGUAUUUAAUGUUAUUCAUAGAGCUGUGUGAACCACGCAAAAUGUGAAACUUUGGACAUCAAUGAGUAUUUGACCUAAGAAAAUCUCUGCUAAAUAUGGUGCUGCAGUCUAAAUGCUCUCUAACAAGAAGAGGAGGGAUCUGUUGUGCAAAUGAUGGAUAAGCCAAACUGACAGUUCUUAUUUUUACAAGACCCUACAAAUGUUUGAAGCUUCAACCAUGUGUAGAUCUUUUUGGAUUUCACAUAGUGUGAAAUACUAAAUGAUGAAACAAAUAAGCAGAUAUUUUACUUAACUUAAAAGCAAUGGAGUUUUUAAAAAACAACAGUAGUGAAUAAUGUAGCAAUGCAUUAUCUAUGAGGGGGUUUUGCAAAUCAUAUAUGGAACACCACUGAAAGGAUACACACUAUGCUGCUGUGUUUAUUAUUCUAUUUUG
Molecule: long non-coding RNA, 691 nt
Organism: Polypterus senegalus (gray bichir)
Lineage: Eukaryota; Metazoa; Chordata; Cladistia; Polypteriformes; Polypteridae
Exons: 3
Source: RefSeq, a predicted model, not a curated record